Molecule: ribosomal RNA, 490 nt
Filed under: uncultured bacterium
Lineage: Bacteria
Description: partial 16S ribosomal RNA
Rfam family: Bacterial small subunit ribosomal RNA
Source: RNAcentral
AUUGAACGCUGGCGGCAGGCCUAACACAUGCAAGUCGAACGGUAACAGGAAGCAGCUUGCUGCUUUGCUGACGAGUGGCGGACGGGUGAGUAAUGUCUGGGAAACUGCCCGAUGGAGGGGGAUAACUACUGGAAACGGUAGCUAAUACCGCAUAACGUCGCAAGACCAAAGAGGGGGACCUUAGGGCCUCUUGCCAUCGGAUGUGCCCAGAUGGGAUUAGCUAGUAGGUGGGGUAACGGCUCACCUAGGCGACGAUCCCUAGCUGGUCUGAGAGGAUGACCAGCCACACUGGAACUGAGACACGGUCCAGACUCCUACGGGAGGCAGCAGUGGGGAAUAUUGCACAAUGGGCGCAAGCCUGAUGCAGCCAUGCCGCGUGUAUGAAGAAGGCCUUCGGGUUGUAAAGUACUUUCAGCGGGGAGGAAGGGAGUAAAGUUAAUACCUUGGCUCAUUGACGUUACCCUCAGAAGAAGCACCGGCUAACUCCGUG